This 20-nucleotide small nuclear RNA is filed under the name Arabidopsis thaliana (thale cress). RNAcentral's name for it is "snRNA_18998". The record is from RNAcentral. Lineage: Eukaryota; Viridiplantae; Streptophyta; Magnoliopsida; Brassicales; Brassicaceae.
GGUUUCUUUUUCUCGACCCG